Molecule: ribosomal RNA, 506 nt
Filed under: uncultured bacterium
Lineage: Bacteria
Description: partial 16S ribosomal RNA
Rfam family: Bacterial small subunit ribosomal RNA
Source: RNAcentral
AGUGAACGCUGGCGGUAGGCCUAACACAUGCAAGUCGAACGGCAGCACAGGAGAGCUUGCUCUCUGGGUGGCGAGUGGCGGACGGGUGAGGAAUACAUCGGAAUCUACUCUGUCGUGGGGGAUAACGUAGGGAAACUUACGCUAAUACCGCAUACGACCUACGGGUGAAAGCAGGGGACCUUCGGGCCUUGCGCGAUUGAAUGAACCGAUGUCGGAUUAGCUAGUUGGCGGGGUAAAGGCCCACCAAGGCGACGAUCCGUAGCUGGUCUGAGAGGAUGAUCAGCCAAACUGGAACUGAGACACGGUCCAGACUCCUACGGGAGGCAGCAGGGGGGAAUAUUGGACAAUGGGCGCAAGCCUGAUCCAGCCAUACCGCGUGGGUGAAGAAGGCCUUCGGGUUGUAAAGCCCUUUUGUUGGGAAAGAAAUCCAGCUGGCUAAUACCCGGUUGGGAUGACGGUACCCAAAGAAUAAGCACCGGCUAACUUCGUGCCAGCAGCCGCCGUAA